CUGAUUUUUUGCUGUUAUGGGAAACCGCCAUUUUGAAAACCUAAGUUUUUACAGAAGCACAUGUCUUCAAGUCUCCAGACAAAAAAAAAAAAAAACCUUACAGUUAAUUUAACGUUUGCACCCUGAGGAGCAACCUAACAGGGUCGGCCUGAAAAAAAGAAGGGGAGGGGGCUCUUAAAUAUUUUUAGUAAAAUGUUGCCUUUGUCUCAUGCAGAACCUGUAGAAUAUAUACUCUUUAAUUUAGUAAAUAUUUUUUAAAAGUUAGAGAUGCUCUGUUAUUGUAGCUAAAACAAUUCUUAAU
This 301-nucleotide long non-coding RNA is filed under the name Marmota monax (woodchuck). The record is from RNAcentral. Lineage: Eukaryota; Metazoa; Chordata; Mammalia; Rodentia; Sciuridae.